UACGUAGGGAGCGAGCGUUGUCCGGAUUCACUGGGUGUAAAGGGUGCGCAGGCGGGGUGGUAAGUCAGAGGUGAAAUCUCACAGCUUAACUGUGAAACUGCCUUUGAUACUCCCAAUCUUGAGUUAAAGAGAGGUUGAUGGAAUUUCAGGUGUAGCGGUGAAAUGCGUAGAUAUCUGAAAGAACACCAGUGGCGAAGGCGGUCAACUGGCUUUUAACUGACGCUCAGGCACGAAAGCGUGGGUAGCGAACAGG
RNAcentral lists this ribosomal RNA (253 nucleotides) under uncultured bacterium. RNAcentral describes it as "partial 16S ribosomal RNA". It matches the Rfam family "Bacterial small subunit ribosomal RNA", at positions 524 to 776 of the family's 1533-position model. The record is from RNAcentral.